Molecule: ribosomal RNA, 119 nt
Organism: Prunus persica (peach)
Lineage: Eukaryota; Viridiplantae; Streptophyta; Magnoliopsida; Rosales; Rosaceae
Source: Rfam
AAAUGUCAUUAUACCAACUUACAUGCACCAAAUCUCAUCAAAACUGCGAAGUUAAGCAAAUUUAUGCGAGAGUUGUACUAGAAUAGGUGACCCCAUGGGAAGUCUUCGUGUUGCAUCCC